AGAAAUUUAGGUUAUCUAAACCAAGGGCCUUCAAAGCCCUAAAAGAAAGUAAUAAACUCUCAAUUUCUG
This 69-nucleotide transfer RNA is filed under the name Varanus rosenbergi. RNAcentral describes it as "tRNA-Trp". The record is from RNAcentral. Lineage: Eukaryota; Metazoa; Chordata; Lepidosauria; Squamata; Varanidae.